This 8065-nucleotide long non-coding RNA is filed under the name Mytilus galloprovincialis (Mediterranean mussel). Lineage: Eukaryota; Metazoa; Mollusca; Bivalvia; Mytilida; Mytilidae. The record is from RNAcentral.
AAUAGCAUAUCCGUUUUCAAUGUUUUCUUUUUCCAGUAUGUAUUUGAGAUUCAUCUCUUUAUUACAAGAAGUACGAAAAGCAGACUGAAUUUACCAACAACUGUUUUGCGACAAAGAAAAACAGAAUGAUGACGGAUGAACCUAAUCCAUUUGAAAUAGGUACAUUUUGGAUUCCCCUUCUGUCUGUCUUUUGCAUAAUCAAUCACAGGCACUUGUUUCUAUCCAUUGCUACUAUCAACGUAAAUUGUUUCUAUCCAUUGGAAGCCCUACUAUCAACGUAAAUUGUUUCUAUCCAUUGGAAGCCACGUUGAUAGUAGGGCUUCCAAUGGAUAGAAACAGGUGCUCGUAAAUAUACGUUUAUAGUAGGGUUUCCAACAUGUCCAAUGGAUAGAAACAAGAGCCUGUGUUGCAUAUAUUAUAUACAUAAUAACAAGGAACAUAAGCUGUUUUAAAAGAGCUCUUUAACUGAUUGAUAUUAAGGUUCUUCAUAACAAAUCGACAAAUAUGGCCGUAUUUUCACAUCUAAAACGACUCAGUGUACAGCAUUACCUGUGAAGUUUGGAAAGUUUUAAGGCCUGGCAUCCACUAGACUGAGCCACUAGAUAUAUAAAAGUUAAAUGCAUUUUGUGCUUCAAAAAGAUAAAAUCAUUUUUGGAUUUUGAUUGGCAUUUUUUUUCCUUCCUGCAGAAGAUGUAAAAAUAAACAAACACCUCAAUUACUUUGAUACUGUCCACUCAGAUAAACUCUUUAACUCACCUAUAAAUGUGUAGAUAUCUAUUGUCCAUGAAUCAAGACAAUCAAUACAAGACAAACCAGUUCUUACCUGAGAGGGAGCAUCUUAAAGUAUACCCGUAAGGGCAUGUCAAUUACAUUUACAAACAAGAAAAUGAAAUACAAACAUGCAUACAUGUACAUCAUUUAAGACAAAGACAAUUUUUAACAUUAUAUUAUUAUUUAUAAAAAAAAAAAAUUGGUGCAGGAGAGAUAACUCCAAUGUAUAUUUAUUAAUAUAAUAUUAAGACACCAAGAACAAAAAAACAAAAAACAAAAAAACAACCUAUUUAAUAACAUCAGAUACAUAUAUAAAACACAAACAUACAGACAGACAAUACACAGAUAGCACUUGCAAAAUAAAAGCUAAGCAAGAUAUACACAUUUGUAUUUUUAUGCCCCACCUACGAUAGUAGAGGGGCAUUAUGUUUUCUGGUCUGUGCCUCCGUUCGUCCAUCUGUCCGUCUGUCUGUGCCUCCGUUCGUCCGUCCGCUUCAGGUUAAAGUUUUUGGUCAAGGUAGUUUUGAAGAAGUUUGAAGUCCAAUCAACUUGAAACUUAGUACACAUGUCCCUAUGAUAUGAUCUUUCUAAUUUUAAUUCCAAAUUGAAGUUUUGACCCCAAUUUCCGGCCACUGAACAUAGAAAAUGAUAGUGCGAGUGGGGCAUUCAUGUACUAUGGACACAUUCUUGUUGUCCAUAUGAUGAGUUAAGCCUUUUUCAACUGAUUUUUAUAGGUCAUUCUUAUGUUGUACUGUUAUACCACUGUCCCAGGUUAGGGGGAGGGUUUGGAUCCUGCUAACAUGUUUAACCGUGCCACAUUAUUUAUGUAUGUGCCUGUCCCAAAUCAGGAGCCUGUAAUUCAGUAGUUGUUGUUGUUUUAUGUGUUACAUAUUUGUUCUUCGUUCAUUUUCUUAUAUAAAUAAGGCCGUUAGUUUUCUUGUUUGAAUUGUUUUACAUUGUCAUAUCGAGUCCUUUUAUAGCUGACUAUGCAGUAUGGGCUUUGCUCAUUGUUGAAGGCUGAACGGUGACCUAUAGUUGUUAAUGUCUGUGUUAUUUUGGUCUCUUGUAGACAGUUGUCUCAUUGGCAAUCAUACCACAUCUUUUUUUAUGCCCCCCUAGAUAGAGAGGAUUAUGUUUCCAGUCGUGCCUCCGUUCGUCCGUCGUCGUGCCUCGUUGUCCGCUGGUUAAAGUUUUUGGUCGAGGUAGUUUUUGAGAAGCUGAAGUCAAUCAACUUGAAACUUAAUACACCUGUUCCCCAGAUAUGAUCUUUUUAAUUUUAAUGCCAAAUUAUAGUUGAACCCAUUUCAUGGUCCACUGACAUAGAAAAUGAUAGGGCAAAGUUCAGGUUAAAGUUUUGUCAAGGUAGUUUUUGAUGAGUUAAGUUAAUCAAUUGAAACUUUAGUCAACAUGUUCCUUGAUAGAUCUUCUAAUUUUAAUUCAAAUUAAAGUUUUGACUCCAAUUUCACAGUCCACUGAACAUAGAAAAUGAUAGUGGGAGUGGGGCAUCCGUGUACUAUGGACACAUUCUUGUUUAUACAUGUAUUAGGCCUGUAGCCAGGAAUUUACUAGGGGUUACAUGGACUCCUGAAGCAAUCAUACUCAAGUCUCAACUUUUAACAUGUACAGUUACAAUUCAAACAGAUUGGCAUACAUGUAUAUCAAAACAAUGUCAAAUAUCAGCACAUAGUAGCACACAGUAUUUAUUCUGAGAAACACAAAUUGGAAUAGAAUAGAAUAUUUUUUGUUGCUUAUCACAGCAGUGCACCCAAAGCUGAGCUGUAUAAUUAACUACAUUAACUUUAUAUUCAAAGAUUAAAAUAAUUACAAUGAUUGUAAAUGUAGAUGAAGAAAAAAAAAACACAAGUAAAACAAUACAAAUAUAAAAUCAACAACAACAAAAUAUAAUAUCAAAUAAUAAAUCAAACUAUUCAAUUAGACUAGCAAUAAAAAACCAGCUGAUACAUUUAAUAAUAUAUGAUCAUGCGAUACUGUACAGUGAAACUGACAAGCAGGACCAAACUGACCUGCCAUUUCUAACUAUACAUGUAUAUAUAUAUAUAUAUAUAUAUCAUUAUAAUACGUACAUGUUGUAAUAAGAGAUAACUAUAAUUUUAUUUGAAAAAAAACAACCUUUGUUUUAAAAAAAAACCCAAUAUAUUGAUUGACUUUGGUACUUGUUGGAAUUUCUGUCUUUUUUUAAAUAAUAAGACAAGAUAUUUAUUUAAAAGUUUAAUAAUCUUGGGAUCCUUAGAUCUGAUAAGUUUGACAACAGCUAGAUAAGAGAAAGCCAGGAAAAACAUUCUAAAGGGAUUGAUUUAUAUGCAGCAAAGAUUGGCUUUUUUAAAAUUAAGUUACUUAACAAAAUCAAACAGACUUUAUCUCAAUGUAAACAUUGAAUGUGAAUAGAUCCAGAAGACAGCAGAUACUUGUACAAAAUUUGAGACGACUUUUUCUUACAAUUGUAUACAAAAUAGAAGAAAGAUAACUACAUUUGUACACUAUAGAAAUAGCCAUGAUAGUUAUUUUAAAUUUUUUAACCUGCACUUUUAAACGUUUAUAUUGACGAAAAGACAAUAGUUCUUUACCAUGUCUACUGUAUGUACAUGAGACAAGAGCAGACCAGUUGGCUCGAUAACUUAGGAGUGUAGAAAAAAAGCAUAGUUUGGGAAAUUGUAACAUGCUUACGAAUUUUUGGAACACUCUAAAAAUUGGUGAUACAAAAGAGUUUCAAUUUUGUAUUCACAUGGUUUUUAUGCCCCACCUACGAUAGCAGAGGGGCAUUAUGUUUUCUGGUCUGUGGGUCCGUUCGUCCGUUUGUUUGUUCGUCCGUCUGUUCGUCGGUCCGUUCGUCCCGCUUCAGGUUAAAGUUUUUGGUCAAGGUAGUUUUUGAUGAAGUUGAAGUCCAAUCCACUUGAAACUUACAUUGUAGUUUACAUGUUCCCUAUGAUAUGAUCUUUAUAAUUUUAAUGCCAAAUUAGAGUUUUUACCCCAAUUUCACAGUCGACUGAACAUAGAAAAUGAUAGUGCCAGUGAGGCAUCUGUGUACUUGGGACACAUUCUUGUUUUCAUUUUUUUUUAAUUAAUAUGCAGCAAAGAUUGACAGUUUUUAAAUUUCAGUUUUACAAGAUUCUAACACAAUUUAACAUCUCGAUAAAUUCUGAACAUAAAACAUUGUGUUUUGCAUGUACAGUAUAUUUCUGUUAUGUAUAUUAUUUUUAUAUUAUUGACUUUUUCGACUCUAUCAUAAGAAGAGUCAGGCGCGUAGCAACCCGUACGCAAAAACGCAGUUGCGUACACAUUGAAAAUUUCACAGAAAUAAAAAUAUGGUUAAUCUAUGUAAGAGCAAAACUGAAAGUGAUAAGUUAAUUUAAAAAAAAAUUUACAAAUAUUGUAAUUGAUCACUUUGCAGCUAUAUUUUCGUUCAAAAACUAUCUCCCUUUUUCAUCACGAAACAGCAUCGUAAUUAUGUUGCUGAUGCAAUAAUUAAAAUGGACUUGCGAGUACUUCCGGUGUCAAAACACAAGUGUUACGUUCUUCUAUGCCGUCCUUACCCUGACAUCUUUUUCUGAAGAUUCCCAAAAUAACUGAUGAAAUAAAAAUAUGACAUUCUAAAAGAUCAUGGACAUCAAUUCAUUCUUAUUGAAUUUUAUCUGUGAGUAUGUAUAAGUCUUAAAUAGUCUACUCCAACUUAAGUUUAACGGGAGUGGUAAAGGGUAAUUUUCGUGCAACUGUAUUCACCUUUUUUUCAUUUGACGUUCAACUUUUUUUCCCAUUUUUUAAAUUCUAGUGCAAGACGGGUGCCUCUUUCGUUCACAAGUUACUGUUCCCAAAUUUAAAUAAAAGUGCGUAUUUUCCAUGCUUUCAGUUUUAAAGUUUUUAUUUUCCGUAAUCCUAAUUUUAAUAAAAAAAAAAACUUUUUUUCGCGAAGUACUGAUCCACCAUCCCAAACCCAACCCUUUACUACCAUUUUUAACCUUUUACUAAAACUAGCAAAUUUUAGAAUUAAUCUUAGAUUUUAUUUAAUAUUGUGAAGAAAAAAAUGAUUUGAUUUUUGUUAUUGCCCUACCUACGAUAAUAGAUUGCUAUUGUGCUUCUGGUCUGUACAUCCGUCUGUCUGUUGGGGUGUCCGUCGUAUGCGGUCUCGAUGGCAACGGCAAACGGUCUUUUAGUACCAUGAGAAGAGUGAAACCUCACUUGAGAAAUACAAUUGAAAACGAAUUGUUUAUCUUGGACUCGGUCUUUGAAACAUAUACCGAGGAAAAAAAUUUAAAGCAGACACGGUUUGGACAUCUUUAGUAGAAAAAAAGAAAGGAAAAUGGGCAUUGAUUUUUCAGAAUUAACUUUGAGAGAGAAAAAAAAGCUGAAAAACACUGCUUGUUCACUCAUAAAUUAAAACAUAAAGAUAUAUGUGAUUCGAAUUUUUAUUUAGUAUUUCCUCAAUAAAAAAAAAUACCAUUUAAGUUGUGACAGUGUUGCUUAGAAAUUAGGUUUGUUUCUAAUGUAAAGUGGGUUCAGCAUGAUUAGGUAACAAAUAAAAUAUACCUAAUCAAGCCAUUUUUACCCUCUACACAUAAGGAAAAAAAAAAAUUGUUAAGCCAACAGUACGGGUUCUUUGUUUUCUCUGAUUAUUUAUUUCAAAGUGACUUUUCCUAAAAGUAAGAUUUAUGUGAGGUCAUUUUAAGUCCUCGGAAAUUGCGAGAAUGCAGGAUUUUGCACCAUUUAUCCCAGAGCUUCUGGGGGCAUAAUCGGACCCCAGACCCCCUGCCGUAUGACUUCCUUCUCCGGCAUUGCGUACAUAUCAAAAUUGCCGAGCUACGCCCCUGAGAGUGAAUUGUCUUGUGUUUCCUUCACUGGAAAUCUCCAUGCAUAUGGGAUUAGUAAUGAGUUACUAUCCCUUUCAAAACAAGAAAGAAAUCUGAAAGGUUUCAACACAGGAAGAAAUUGAAAUAAAAUCAUGAAUCAAAUUUUAAGCUAACAAGUUGUUAUUGUUAGCAUUUGUUUUUUGUAUAGAUAAAUGAAAGUAGGUUUUUGAAACUAAGUAUUGAAGACUUAAUCACUUUGUUUGGCUGCUAGUAUAAAAAGCACAUGUGAAGAUAGUUGGUAAGAUAAAUUGUUACACAGUGUGCUGGUGAUCUAAUAGGAUAUAUAUGGGGUCAGUAAAUUCCAUAAUGGGCGAGAGCUAAGCUCAAAUCCCCAUAUGAAAUUUACUGUUUGGGUCUCACCCCAUAUAGAAUUUACAGCAUCCAUAUAUAUCAUACAUGUAUUAGGUCACUAACACAACACGUAACUAAUAAUAUAUGUACAAAUGUAGGUCCAUUUAUUAUAUGCACGUCUAUAAAGCACAAUGAACAGUUCCAUUAUGCUAUAACCUUUUCACUGUUUUCAGUCAUAUGUUGUUUUUAUUUGUAUGGUUAAAAAAAAUUACACUUUAAAGACCUGAACAUGGACCUGAAAAUAUUAUGGUCCAUACUCCAUUUAUUCAAAUUGCAGUAUAUUUUUCACUUUUCAAUGAAUUACCUUCAAAUUUUGAUUUUGUUACCAGUGGUUACUGUGACUUGACUGUAAGUAUUCCUCUCUAUCUAUUGCCUUUUAUUCAAAAUUCUGACCAAAUUACAAUUUGUUUUCUCACAAUGCUUUAUUGGAGAGCAAUACACACCAUGAUACAUAAGUCAAGUCACAGUUUAUGAUUUUGAAUCUAUUAAGAAAAAAUAUUUUUCUGAUGCCAAAUCAGAAUAUUCAGUUCUAUCAAGUAUUUGUACAGUAUUAUAAAUAAGACAACUAUACAAACCCUUGGUUUUGUGGAUUUGCUUGUAAUAAUCUCUUUUUUUUUCAAAUAGCAUUUGUGAUAAACAAUCACUCUUUCAUAAAGAUGAACAUAUUUUGCUGUUUAAAAAAAAACUGGACAUUGUUGGGCGUUUAUGAAAAGGAACAUAAAUUAGACGUCCUACACAUAUGUUUGGGCUUACAGUGACAACUCGUGGACACUUUUUGAAGAUUAGACACGUUUCUGAGUGUUAUAUUUAUAUUGUAUACAUGUACAUUUGUACAUGUAAUAUUCAUGAAAUUGUAUGAUAUCUAACAAAAACAUAGCUAGAAUGUUAAUGUAAACUUCAAUUAUGUCUUUUUCCUUUCAGGUAUUCAGUCAAAGAAUUUGAAUUAUGUAUGUGGAAUUUGUGAUCUCUCAUUUUGGAAGAAAUCAGAACUAGAAUCCCAUUUAAUUGUACAUAACAAUGGAAGUAAACAUUAUAGGUGUGAGGAGUGUGGGAAAUGUUUUGUACAAAGUGCUACACUGAAAAGACACAUUAGACUUCACACCGGAGAUAGGUUGUUACAGUGUAAGGUGUGUGAUAAAAUAUUCACUGUACCUUAUUAUUUGAAAAAGCAUGAAAAAACUCACCUCAAUGAAAAACCCUACAUUUGUGAUAAAUGUGGGAAAAGUUUUGGCCAUAAGGGCGAUUUGCGGCGACAUGAACGAAUUCAUUCUGGUAUAAAACCACAUAGUUGUGAUAAAUGUGGUAAAUGUUUUCAGCAGCGAAAUUCAUUGAUUAAUCAUAUAAGGACACAUACUGGCGAAAAACCACAUAAGUGUAUGACAUGUGGACAAUGUUUUACAGCUCGCCCAACUUUAGUAAGGCACAUGGCAGUGCACAGCAGUAUCAGAAGUCAUCAGUGUGAUUUAUGUGGAAAGAGUUUUGUCAGAAAAGGUGAUUUAAUUCGCCAUAUUAGAACUCACAGCGGUGAAAAACCAUUCUCAUGUAGUGUCUGUGAUAAAUCAUUCUCACAAAGUCAGGACAUGAAAGUUCAUAUGAGAAUUCACUCUGGUGAGACCCCAUUUUCUUGCUCAGUUUGUAGAAAAAGUUUUUCUUCUCUGAGUUUAGUACAUCGCCACGUAAGAGGUGUUCAUAAUGAAGAAGCAAUAUUUGUAUGUCUUAUUUGUGGAAAGAAAUAUAAGUACAGACAAAGUCUGCUUGUUCACAGUAAAGUACAUUUUCAAGGAAUGUUUUACAAAUGUUUGAUGUGCGGUCUAGAAUUUAAACAUAAAUCUUCAUUAAAAAGACAUGAGCUGAAACACAAAGAUUUACUCUGUUUGACCUGUAAAGUUUGUAAUGAGAAUUUUUGCAGUGAGGAAAACUACUUUUUUCAUCAGAAAUCUCAUAGUGAUCAUGGUGUGACAUUUUAUGAAACACUCAAAGCAGAUGUAUAUGAACAUUUAGAACUGCAAAAUACAUCUAACAAUAAACAAUCAGAUCAUUAAGUGAAAUUAUUAACGUGUAUUGAAACAAAUAAUAUCAAC